CUGAGUACGGGGCAGGACUCUCUCUGGGAUGGAGGGGUCUUAGGACCUGCAAGCAAACAAGCACAGAGGCAGUAGUAGAAGCCAUGAGUCUGAUAAGUUUGCUGAAGGAGAGAGUGUGCUAUGAGGACGGAUCGUUGACAAGACCCUGGAGGACACAAGGACCUAAGAGCCCCUAAGAGGAGACAGAGAAGGUGCUGUCCCACAAAGUGCAAGAUGUCCCAGGAGAGAGGUGUCCAGGGGAUGACUGUGCGGG
RNAcentral lists this long non-coding RNA (253 nucleotides) under Homo sapiens (human). RNAcentral describes it as "PREDICTED lncRNA (TCONS_00086349)". The record is from RNAcentral. Lineage: Eukaryota; Metazoa; Chordata; Mammalia; Primates; Hominidae.